UACGGGGGGAGCAAGCGUUGUUCGGAUUUACUGGGCGUAAAGGGCGCGUAGGCGGUCAGCACAAGUCAGUUGUGAAAUCUCCGGGCUUAACCCGGAGCGGCCAAGUGAUACUGUCGUGCUAGAGUGCGGAAGGGGCUACUGGAAUUCUCUGUGUAGCGGUGAAAUGCGUAGAUAUCGAGAGGAACACCUGCGGCGAAGGCGGGUAGCUGGGCCGACACUGACGCUGAUGCGCGAAAGCCAGGGGAGCGAACGGG
Molecule: ribosomal RNA, 254 nt
Filed under: uncultured bacterium
Lineage: Bacteria
Description: partial 16S ribosomal RNA
Rfam family: Bacterial small subunit ribosomal RNA
Source: RNAcentral